CGAACGGGUGCGUAACACGUGAGAAACCUGCCCCGAUCUCUGGGAUAACAGUUGGAAACGACUGCUAAUACCGGAUGCCGUCACACCGCUUCAUGGCGGAGUGCCGAAAGAUUUAUCGGAUCGGGAGGGUCUCGCGGCCUAUCAGCUAGUUGGAGAGGUAACGGCUCACCAAGGCAUCGACGGGUAGCUGGUCUGAGAGGAUGAUCAGCCACACUGGGACUGAGACACGGCCCAGACUCC
RNAcentral lists this ribosomal RNA (240 nucleotides) under uncultured bacterium. RNAcentral's name for it is "partial 16S ribosomal RNA". It matches the Rfam family "Bacterial small subunit ribosomal RNA", at positions 99 to 339 of the family's 1533-position model. The record is from RNAcentral.